Non-coding RNA from Cherax quadricarinatus, 1851 nucleotides. Lineage: Eukaryota; Metazoa; Arthropoda; Malacostraca; Decapoda; Parastacidae. The record is from RefSeq and is a predicted model, not a curated record.
GGGCUUGGCAAGGGUGUCCCUCUCUGCUGGGGCUUGGCAAGGGUGUCCACCGGAUCUUAUUGGAAACUUCAAGUUUCUAUCUCUAUUUAUAAAGGAACUUUUGUUCCUUUUCUCUCAUCGUCCAGCCUUGGGCAACAAUUUUUUCUGGUACCAUCAAGAAACCGGACUCAAUACUGCGUAUGCUGUCAGUGGCCCUGAUAAACCCAACAAAAUAAGAAGAGACAUAUUAAUUACAAUUGUCUGAUCAAGAAGGUGGGAUUUUUGGCCAGAACUGCCGUAAUUCUUACUAAGAGGAACUUUAUGCCAACCAUGCUUCCUUAAACCCUGAGAAUAACUGUUAAUAUGCUUUCAAGCCCCAGUGCACCGGGUUUAUGUUUUAUUCAUCAUUACUGGUCAGUUUUACUGGUGAAGUGUGGAUGAUGAUGUUCCUCUGGCAGGUAUAUUGACGGAGCACCAACAUGGUACCUCGUCAGUUUCUGAGGUAUCCAGGGACCCGGGUUCGAUUCCUGUCGGGGUGGAAAUAUUUCGACGUGUUUCCUCACACCUGUUGUCCUGUUCACCUAGCAGCAAGGAAGGUCUCCAGGGAGCUACAGUGAUCCUGAAGACCCUAGAAGCCAGCUUUCACAUCACUGCUCUAGGUGUUUACACCAUGUCCUUGCAUGAUCACUUUCACCUCCUGGAGCACUCUAUGAAUCUGGCAUCAUGUGCUCACCACCACAGCUGCCAGGUCAUCGACACCUUCAGCAUGACUGCAGCCCGCUAUAGACACUUUCUCCAGGGAAGUGUGCCUGCCAUUUUCACCAGGUUGUGUCGAGAUGUGAGGGCAAUGGGGAGGUGGUGUACCAUGUAGAGGGAGAAAUCAGUGCCAUUUACACCAACAUACUUGCCAACACCUUUUCUCCACACUCUUCUCUCACCAGAUAUUAGCCCUUGACGUGGGUGUGUCAAUCAACCACCGAGAAAGGGAGCAGAAGGGCUUCACUGUGGCUUCCAGCUAACUUAGCGACAUGUUUAUUUAUUUAUUUAUUUUAUUUAUUUAUUUAUUUAUUAAUUUGAACAUGAUACAGUGAAGUACAAAAGAAUACAGUUAAAAGCAGCAUGCCAAAGCCACUUGAAUGUAUAGCAUUACGGGCAGGCUUAAAAUUAACUUAAGAUUAACUAAACAAUGAUAUAUUCAGUGGUACAAAAAUUAUUGUAAAACAGAUAACAAUUUAGUACAAAUGAGUAUUACAAAGACAGGUCAUAUGGUCAUUUACUGUGUUGCUGUGUAAUCAGUAGAAUGGAGUAUUCUGUUAGGCAAUGAAGUUAAAUAGUAACAGAGUUUGAUUGGGUCACAGGUUGACAUUUAUGAGAUACAAUAAUGAGAUACAUAUAUGAGAUACAAUUUAUGAGAUACAAUUAUUCAGUAUUUAUUUAGUUGUGGGUGAGUAAGUGAUUUUUGAGAAGAGACUUGAAUUUAUAAACAGUGUUUCUUUUAUAUUCACAGAUAAUGAAUUCCAGAUUUUAGGGCCUUUUAUGUGCAUUGAGUUUUUGCAUAGCAUAGUGUAACUUACUGAUCUGUAUAGAAAAGCUGCAUUUUUAUUAGUUAUUCUGUUUUGUAUAGAUCUUGUUAUUCCUUUUAGAUAUAUAUCAUUGUGAUGAAUAGAAAUAUGCUUAUCAGAGCAAAUAUGUUACAAUCAGUUUUUUUUUUUUUUUUUAAACUUUUGAGCCAUAUAUUGUACAUUCUACUGAGGACUCCAUGGCUGUUUUCCUAUAUACAUGUAGGACACACUUUACCAUGUAUAUUAUGAUUUAUAUAUUUUAUAUAUACACAUACAUGUUAUAUAUGUAUUAUUAUAUAAAAAAAUUGCA